RNAcentral lists this non-coding RNA (179 nucleotides) under Lachnospiraceae bacterium. Its description in RNAcentral is "6S RNA". It matches the Rfam family "6S / SsrS RNA". Rfam says of the family: E. coli 6S RNA was the first non coding RNA to be sequenced, but its function was unknown until recently. It consists of 184 nucleotides that fold into an extended hairpin structure with a large single-stranded internal bulge. The record is from RNAcentral. Lineage: Bacteria; Bacillati; Bacillota; Clostridia; Lachnospirales; Lachnospiraceae.
UGUGACCUGGAAUGUGCGACAACUUCUGUAAUUUUGAACCUACAUUUUUGAAUUGGGAUUCUUAUAUCACUGCUGGGAUGUCAGGCCUCCUGAGAGUGGAAGGCAGAAAAGUCAGUUGCGGUUACCCACCUAGCGCUGCUAGGACUCAAAAUAACAGAAACCGGCAUUUUGGGUAAAUG